Molecule: ribosomal RNA, 465 nt
Filed under: uncultured bacterium
Lineage: Bacteria
Description: partial 16S ribosomal RNA
Rfam family: Bacterial small subunit ribosomal RNA
Source: RNAcentral
GACGAACGCUGGCGGCGUGCUUAACACAUGCAAGUCGAACGGUGAGGCCCUGCUUUCAGGGUACUCGUGUGGCGAACGGGUGAGUAACACGUGUGUGAUCUGCCCUUGACUUCGGGAUAAGCCUGGGGAACUGGGUCUAUAAUCGGAUAUGAGCCUUUUUUAUUUUUAUGGUUGGAAUGUUUUUUCGGUUUAGGAUGAUCUCGCGGCCUAUCAGCUUGUUGGUGGGGUAAUGGUCUACCAAGGCGGCGACGGGUAGCCGGCCUGAGGGGGUGGACGGCCACAUUGGGACUGCGAUACGGCGCAGACGCCAACGGGAGGCAGCAGAGGGGAAUAUUGCACAAUGGGCGCAAGCCUGAUGCAGCGACGCCGCGUGCGGGAUGACGGCCUUCGGGUUGUAAACUCCUUUCGCUAGGGACGAAGCUUUUUGUGACGGUAUCUAGACAAGAAGCACCGGCUAACUACGUG